Molecule: unclassified non-coding RNA, 200 nt
Filed under: soil metagenome
Description: partial contains internal transcribed spacer 2 and large subunit ribosomal RNA
Source: RNAcentral
UUGAGCGUCAUCCACACCCUCGAGCGACGCUCGGUGUUGGGCGUCUGUCUGCGCUGCAGACUCGCCUCGAAUCUAUUGGCGGCGGUCCGGCUGGCUCCCCACGCAGCGCAUGCGUCCCGGGGUGGCUCCAGCGCGCUCCAGCGACCACGAAGACCACCAGGUCUGACCUCAAAUCAGGUAGGGAUACCCGCUGAACUUAA